This 437-nucleotide ribosomal RNA is filed under the name Phimophis guerini. RNAcentral's name for it is "partial large subunit ribosomal RNA". It matches the Rfam family "Bacterial large subunit ribosomal RNA", at positions 1926 to 2565 of the family's 2925-position model. The record is from RNAcentral. Lineage: Eukaryota; Metazoa; Chordata; Lepidosauria; Squamata; Dipsadidae.
AACGGCCGCGGUACCCUAACCGUGCAAAUUAGGUAGCGAUAAUCAUUUAGUCUAUUAAUUGUAGACUCAGCAUGAAAGGGUGAGCAUGAGGACCCAACUGUCUCUUAUAAUAAAUCAAUUAAACUGAUCUUCUAGUAAAAAAGCUAGAAUCUUACCAUAAGACCAGAAGANCCUGUGAAGCUUAAACUAAACUAUUAAAUCAUAUAAUAGCUACUUUCGGUUGGGGCGACCUUGGAAAAAAAAAGAACUUCGCAACAUCAAUAUAUUAAACCACAUCAGGCCCACAAGCCACACACCAAUGACCUCAGCUACGAGCUGAUCAUUGAACCAAGUUACUCCAGGGAUGAACAGCGCUAUCUUCUUCAAGGAGCCCAUAUCAANNAGAAGGUUUACGACCUCGAUGUUGGAUCAGGACAUCCUAAUGGCGCAGCCACUAU